GAUGAACGCUGGCGGCGUGCAUAACACAUUCAAGUCGAACGGUGACGGGGCUUCGGCCCCUGAUCAGUGGCGGACGGGUGAGUAACGCGUGAGCAACCUGCCCUUGUGUGGGGGAUACCGUCUGGAAACGGACGUUAAUACCGCAUAACGUAUCCGGAUCACAUGUUCCGGAUACCAAAGAUUUAUUGCGCAAGGAUGGGCUCGCGUCUGAUUAGGUAGUUGGUAGGGUAACGGCCUACCAAGCCGACGAUCAGUAGCCGGACUGAGAGGUUGAACGGCCACAUUGGAACUGAGAUACGGUCCAG
RNAcentral lists this ribosomal RNA (305 nucleotides) under uncultured bacterium. Its description in RNAcentral is "bacterial SSU rRNA". It matches the Rfam family "Bacterial small subunit ribosomal RNA", at positions 28 to 334 of the family's 1533-position model. The record is from RNAcentral.